GCCUCUGUAGUGUAGUGGUCAGCACGCUGGGCGCGUAUUCUAGAGGUCCGUGGUUCGAAUUCCGGCGAAGGUG
This 73-nucleotide transfer RNA is filed under the name Stegodyphus mimosarum. It matches the Rfam family "tRNA". Rfam says of the family: Transfer RNA (tRNA) molecules are approximately 80 nucleotides in length. Lineage: Eukaryota; Metazoa; Arthropoda; Arachnida; Araneae; Eresidae. The record is from Rfam by way of RNAcentral.